CCCUCCCCUGCCUGCAGAGGAAGGGAGAGCAGACGGUGAGCGAGGAGAGGAGCCCGGUGGGGCGGACUUGGCUGACAGCACGGAGGCUGGGAAAGGAGGGGAAGCCUCCUGCCACCGCCAGACUCUGUUUUGCAGACGCUGAAAGCCCUGGGAAGCGGCCCGCAAACGUGGCACAGCGGAGGGAGCAGGAAGGACCGGGAUCGGGCCCCGCGUGUGCUCGGAGCUUGUCAGCCAAGCGCAGCCCUGCGGCCGCGAUGGACCCCGCCGCCGGGCACAUGCCAAGGGGCAGCGCAGCCUGGAUGGGCGCCGCCCGCGCCGUCUGGCCGAGAACCCCCCCCCUUCCCCCCACGCAGCCAAUCCGAUUUCCGCCGCUUCCCUUCUUCCAGAUCCCCCCUCCCCACCACGGGGAUCCCGAGCCUGCGGGGGGAAGGAGGAGGGCGGCGAGACGGGCUCGGAUCCGCGCCCCUCCGGGGGUGAGCGGCAGCCCCUGGGCGAAGAGCCACAGGGGCUGCAAGACUCUGGAGCUGACAGCCAGUGGAGCCCUGGCAGGGUUCCAGCGACAGGUGACAGCAGUGACAAGCGACAGGAGGCCCCCUGCAAAGUUCCAGCGACAGAAAACACUGAAGCAAAACUAGAAGAACAAAGGAGAAGGGUCUGGAGGAAAAAUAAACUGAAACAGAGUCCUACUUCUAUGGCAGUUAUAUUUUAAAAAAAACCUAAAUAAAGUUGUAUAAAUGCUGGUGUCUAACUACCAUUUAGGACUCCAAUUGUGCCAAAAAAUGGAAACAUUUAUACAAGCAAUGAAACUGCACAUCAGCAGCACCCAAGAUGACAGUCACCAUGGGAACAUUAUCAUUUCUCAUAAAACGCACUGAUAGCACAGCAGUUCAAGGAAUGGUCACGAGAAGUGCAGGAUUACUAUAUAUGGAGAGAGAGAAGUGUGAGCAAGAUAAAUAUUGAGGUGAAAAAGUAGCUAGUUUAAAUUCAAUCCAGAUAAGAAAGAAAUUAUGCUGAUAUGAGGAAAACAAGGAACUAGCAGGAGCUCUGGUCUUACCUUUAUGGAAGAUGUCUGCCCUGAUUGCCAUGAUGAGAUACAGCCUUGUGCUCCUUCUGGGCUCAUUGGAUCUCCAAAACACCCAAAUAGCAGAAAUAUGGCUUUUUCCAGUUUCAGCAAGCUAGGAGCCUGCACUCUUUCCUAUCAGGUGAUCAAUACCAGUGCCACUUUAAGGCUUGCCUACUGCAAUUUGUUCAGCAUUGGACUACUAUGAAGGCUACAUAGAAAAGUCAGCUGGUUCCUUAUGCAGUGAACAGCCAUUUAGAUAAGUCCGACCAACAAGAGCACAUCACAUUGGUGCUUGAUCCUCCCAUCUGGCUCCCUAUGCAAUUCUACAUCCAUUUCAAGGUUUUAGUGCUAAUCUUCAAAUAUUUCAAUGGGCUGGGGCCUAGAUAUCUCAAAGAUUCUGUGCAACCCAGCUUGACAGCUGAGAUCAAUGGGCACACUGUGGCUGAUGGUGUCUUCAGUGAAACUGGAGAUCAGGACAAGCCUGUCAUAGAACACGGUGCCAAACACUUCUACAUAUGCCUUACUGCAAUGAUGAUUAACGAAUGGCUGACAGCUUUUUUUCCAGGAAAAGAAACAAGAAAGAACAUUCCCCUUAGAAAAAUGGUGGUGAGAUCACAGAGAGCAGGAGUGUGUUAUCUUUGUGGACGAAAAUUUGCAUAUCUUGUGUAUUUGAUGGCUGCAUGCUAGGCUAUGGUGAUGGUACUUUAGGAAUGACAGGUAGAGAGACAAUUCUUCAGAGGUGCUGAGCACCUGUAAUUUACAUUAACUGCAACAGCAUCUCUGCGGAUUUGGCCUAUAGAGAGGGAGGAGGAGGAUGAAACAGUUACAAAUGACACUGUAAGUGGCAACACUGAACAACAACCUCCACAAGCAUAGGCACACAUAUUUGGAAGGAAAUGUAAAGCAUAAAAGAAGUCAAUAAAAGAGCCAAGCUGAGGCUUUUGAACAGCACACAAGAGAGCAUGGGGGGACAGCAUAACCCAGUGAUGAGGGUCACAGCUAAAAGGCAAAGCAAGGACCUCUCUUCAUUCUUUAUAUACAGAUACCUGGAUAUCCAUCCAGCUGUGUGGCCACAUUUCCCCCUUUCUGUUGCCGGGCAGCUGCUUUUGCUAUCGAGUUCUGUGGACACUGCAGUGCAGCAAACAUUUGCUGUUCCUUCCAAACCAAUGUUGAAAAUGCUGGCAUGGACAGGAUCAGCCAAGUUCAACACCCAUCAUAGUAAAGUAUACUAGACCCUAGCUGGAAGAGACUGAUACAAUACUGAGAGAUUAGAAGGAAAAGCUAAUCAGAGUUUUCUUAACCCUAUCUCCUGUUCCCAUACAGUCCAUUGCCUUAAUAAUGAAAGAGUAAUGUUCCCAUCAUCCCAUGUAUACUAGUGUGUUGUUGUGUGGUCAUGAGCAGUAAAUUAUUUACAAGGAAUUUAGAAAAAAUAGCAUUGAAGCAUUUGUUUUUAAAACAGAUAUAUGAAGAUCCUGGUCUCAGAUGAUCUUGCCGCUCUGGGACUUACAGUGCUCAAGCUCCACUGCAGAUGAAAAUGCAGACAGCUGAAUGGGAGGCAGACACUAUUGGCGCACAAGGGCUCAGCACAAGGGGUGGCCCCAGGUUCAUUAUUAAGGGAAGUAGGAGCAAAGGUCACUGACUGGGAGGGAAGUGGGGCAAGAAGGCCACUGGCUGCAGAAGAAGAGGAGAAAGGUAGCUGGCUGUCUGGGAAGUUGGGCAAAUUGACCACUGGCUGUUACAGUUAAAGUCUUAAUCUGGUAAACCGGUACACAAUCUCUCCAAAUGCUUGGCCACUAUUAGUCUAAAUCACAAAUGAUUAAAUAAUAAAAUACAGCUAAAAUUCUAUCUUAAAACCACAAAACCAAGAUAAGCUAGAAUCAGGAAAGUCGGCCUCUUGUAUAUGGUUAUUGCUGAUUAGAUGGUACAUAAAAAAUGCCAUUAUAGAAUUCUCCACCAAUGUCCCAGUACAGCAGGGAGAGAUACAGAGCCUGAUUGUCUGUUACAUUAUAGACCAUUUGAUCCUCUCCUGUGGCACUAUGGGGUUAUAAAACUCAUUGAUCUGACUAUUGAGGAAUUCCCUCCUAACAAGAGAAUCUGCCUGUAGCACAAAAGUGGAGUGAUAGCGCUCUGCCACCCGCAGUGUAGGCUGCUUGGGUGGGAAGCAGGGACAUUGCUGUGUUCUGACU
Molecule: long non-coding RNA, 3249 nt
Organism: Trachemys scripta elegans
Lineage: Eukaryota; Metazoa; Chordata; Testudines; Emydidae
Exons: 3
Source: RefSeq, a predicted model, not a curated record